GGGUUGUGAGGUUAAGCGACUAAGCGUACACGGUGGAUGCCCUGGCAGUCAGAGGCGAUGAAGGACGUGCUAAUCUGCGAUAAGCGCCGGUAAGGUGAUAUGAACCGUUAUAACCGGCGAUUUCCGAAUGGGGAAACCCAGUGUGACUCGUCACACUAUCAUUAACUGAAUCCAUAGGUUAAUGAGGCGAACCGGGGGAACUGAAACAUCUAAGUACCCCGAGGAAAAGAAAUCAACCGAGAUUCCCCCAGUAGCGGCGAGCGAACGGGGAGGAGCCCAGAGCCUGAAUCAGCAUGUGUGUUAGUGGAAGCGUCUGGAAAGGCGCGCGAUACAGGGUGACAGCCCCGUACACAAAAGCGCAUGUGCUGUGAGCUCGAUGAGUAGGGCGGGACACGUGGUAUCCUGUCUGAAUAUGGGGGGACCAUCCUCCAAGGCUAAAUACUCCUGACUGACCGAUAGUGAACCAGUACCGUGAGGGAAAGGCGAAAAGAACCCCGGCGAGGGGAGUGAAAAAGAACCUGAAACCGUGUACGUACAAGCAGUGGGAGCACAGGUUUACCUGUGUGACUGCGUACCUUUUGUAUAAUGGGUCAGCGACUUAUAUUCUGUAGCAAGGUUAACCGAAUAGGGGAGCCGGAGGGAAACCGAGUCUUAACCGGGCGUUAAGUUGCAGGGUAUAGACCCGAAACCCGGUGAUCUAGCCAUGGGCAGGUUGAAGGUUGGGUAACACUAACUGGAGGACCGAACCGACUAAUGUUGAAAAAUUAGCGGAUGACCUGUGGCUGGGGGUGAAAGGCCAAUCAAACCGGGAGAUAGCUGGUUCUCCCCGAAAGCUAUUUAGGUAGCGCCUCGUGAAUUCAUCUCCGGGGGUAGAGCACUGUUUCGGCUAGGGGGCCAUCCCGGCUUACCAACCCGAUGCAAACUGCGAAUACCGGAGAAUGUUAUCACGGGAGACACACGGCGGGUGCUAACGUCCGUCGUGAAGAGGGAAACAACCCAGACCGCCAGCUAAGGUCCCAAAGUCAUGGUUAAGUGGGAAACGAUGUGGGAAGGCCCAGACAGCCAGGAUGUUGGCUUAGAAGCAGCCAUCAUUUAAAGAAAGCGUAAUAGCUCACUGGUCGAGUCGGCCUGCGCGGAAGAUGUAACGGGGCUAAACCAUGCACCGAAGCUGCGGCAGCGAACGUAUCACUUAAAGCGAUUCAGCGGGUUACGAUUGACGGAGCGAAGCGACGUCAAAGCGUAUACAAAGUCGAGUCGGUUUAAGGAUACGUUCGUUGGGUAGGGGAGCGUUCUGUAAGCCUGUGAAGGUGUGUCGUGAGGCAUGCUGGAGGUAUCAGAAGUGCGAAUGCUGACAUAAGUAACGAUAAAGCGGGUGAAAAGCCCGCUCGCCGGAAGACCAAGGGUUCCUGUCCAACGUUAAUCGGGGCAGGGUGAGUCGACCCCUAAGGCGAGGCCGAAAGGCGUAGUCGAUGGGAAACGGGUUAAUAUUCCCGUACUUGGUGUUACUGCGAAGGGGGGACGGAGAAGGCUAUGUUGGCCGGGCGACGGUUGUCCCGGUUUAAGCGUGUAGGUGUGUGUUCCAGGUAAAUCCGGUUCACUUUAACACUGAGGCGUGAUGACGAGGCACUACGGUGCUGAAGCAACAAAUGCCCUGCUUCCAGGAAAAGCCUCUAAGCAUCAGGUAACAUCAAAUCGUACCCCAAACCGACACAGGUGGUCAGGUAGAGAAUACCAAGGCGCUUGAGAGAACUCGGGUGAAGGAACUAGGCAAAAUGGUGCCGUAACUUCGGGAGAAGGCACGCUGACAUGUAGGUGAAGUGAUUUACUCAUGGAGCUGAAGUCAGUCGAAGAUACCAGCUGGCUGCAACUGUUUAUUAAAAACACAGCACUGUGCAAACACGAAAGUGGACGUAUACGGUGUGACGCCUGCCCGGUGCCGGAAGGUUAAUUGAUGGGGUCAGCGCAAGCGAAGCUCCUGAUCGAAGCCCCGGUAAACGGCGGCCGUAACUAUAACGGUCCUAAGGUAGCGAAAUUCCUUGUCGGGUAAGUUCCGACCUGCACGAAUGGCGUAAUGAUGGCCAGGCUGUCUCCACCCGAGACUCAGUGAAAUUGAACUCGCUGUGAAGAUGCAGUGUACCCGCGGCAAGACGGAAAGACCCCGUGAACCUUUACUAUAGCUUGACACUGAACAUUGAGCCUUGAUGUGUAGGAUAGGUGGGAGGCUUUGAAGCGUGGACGCCAGUCUGCGUGGAGCCGACCUUGAAAUACCACCCUUUAAUGUUUGAUGUUCUAACGUGGAUCCGUAAUCCGGGUUGCGGACAGUGUCUGGUGGGUAGUUUGACUGGGGCGGUCUCCUCCUAAAGAGUAACGGAGGAGCACGAAGGUUGGCUAAUCCUGGUCGGACAUCAGGAGGUUAGUGCAAUGGCAUAAGCCAGCUUGACUGCGAGCGUGACGGCGCGAGCAGGUGCGAAAGCAGGUCAUAGUGAUCCGGUGGUUCUGAAUGGAAGGGCCAUCGCUCAACGGAUAAAAGGUACUCCGGGGAUAACAGGCUGAUACCGCCCAAGAGUUCAUAUCGACGGCGGUGUUUGGCACCUCGAUGUCGGCUCAUCACAUCCUGGGGCUGAAGUAGGUCCCAAGGGUAUGGCUGUUCGCCAUUUAAAGUGGUACGCGAGCUGGGUUUAGAACGUCGUGAGACAGUUCGGUCCCUAUCUGCCGUGGGCGCUGGAGAACUGAGGGGGGCUGCUCCUAGUACGAGAGGACCGGAGUGGACGCAUCACUGGUGUUCGGGUUGUCAUGCCAAUGGCACUGCCCGGUAGCUAAAUGCGGAAGAGAUAAGUGCUGAAAGCAUCUAAGCACGAAACUUGCCCCGAGAUGAGUUCUCCCUGAGACUUAGAGUCUCCUGAAGGAACGUUGAAGACGACGACGUUGAUAGGCCGGGUGUGUAAGCGCAGCGAUGCGUUGAGCUAACCGGUACUAAUGAACCGUGAGGCUUAACCUUACAACGCCGAAG
Molecule: ribosomal RNA, 3010 nt
Filed under: Salmonella enterica subsp. enterica serovar Infantis
Lineage: Bacteria; Pseudomonadati; Pseudomonadota; Gammaproteobacteria; Enterobacterales; Enterobacteriaceae
Description: 23S ribosomal RNA
Rfam family: Bacterial large subunit ribosomal RNA
Source: RNAcentral